GUCUACAGCAAUGCUACCCUGGACAUACCCGAGCCCAUCUGAUCUUAGAAGCUAAGCAGGGUCGGGCCUGGUUAGUACUUGGAUGGGAGACCACCUAGAAGACCAGGUGCUAUAGGCA
RNAcentral lists this ribosomal RNA (118 nucleotides) under Pteropus alecto (black flying fox). Lineage: Eukaryota; Metazoa; Chordata; Mammalia; Chiroptera; Pteropodidae. The record is from RNAcentral.